Molecule: long non-coding RNA, 584 nt
Filed under: Elaeis guineensis (African oil palm)
Lineage: Eukaryota; Viridiplantae; Streptophyta; Magnoliopsida; Arecales; Arecaceae
Description: long non-coding RNA (EGUI_LNC071858)
Source: RNAcentral
CUCCGUCCGAACUUCUACAACAUAAUUGAAUCUCGGACUCCUCCAACGUUCGAUCUUCCACAGUGUCCUCAAGACUCCUCCAAUGGACGAACCUCCAUAAUGCCAUCGGAACUCCACUGUCAGUCGACCCUCUAUCGGAUUUCUCAUAAAAUCGGACCUCUCUGACGGACGAUCCUUAGACGAGCUUCUACAUCAGGCAAAUUUCAGAUGGACUUCCCUAGCAAUUGGACUCCUGUCAGACUUCUCCAAUAGAAAGUCUCCAUCCGAGCUUCUACAGCAGAUGACUUUCGCCUGCAGCAUUAGCACCCAAGGCAUCUGACAAUAGUGGACCUAUCAGCAACCUCGAAGACAUCCGAGCCUCUCUUAGAUUACUGAGACAGAUUGCCAGUCCGCUUCCUUAGACGUUCCAGUCGAGCUUCAACCGUCUAGCCCGAACUCUCCAGCAAGUCGCGACAACAGACACAACGGAUACCACUCCACUCUCUGUAACAGAUUCCAUGUGGCCCCACCACUCUCUGGCAAGUCGCAACAACGGACACCACUCCACUCUCCAUAACUAACUCCACGUGGUUCUAAACGGCCCC